Oncorhynchus mykiss (rainbow trout) is the source of this 1580-nucleotide long non-coding RNA. RefSeq lists it as uncharacterized. The record is from RefSeq and is a predicted model, not a curated record. NCBI's taxonomy places the organism in Eukaryota, Metazoa, Chordata, Actinopteri, Salmoniformes, Salmonidae.
UAAUUCAAAUUCACGCGUCGCAUAAAAGCGGCCCAAUCACAGCUGUGUAUGUAAACCAAAUGAUGAUCCGUAGCAGGAUUGUGUAACAGUAAAAAAAAAAAAACGUAGCUACAUGCCAUGAAAAAAAGGUUGUCUAAUCAACUUGAAAAACAAAUUGAGCAGGUUCAGGAGACAAUACAGACACAUACAGAGACAGUGGUCGGGUCUUCUGAAGACCACGAGGAAGGAAAUCCCUGACCGCUUCUCAAAAAACACAAGCAGAGAAGAGCAGACAGUGUAACUAUGGAAUGUAAACUCUGCUUACCAAAGAUGGUGGAGGUGGCUGCCUACAUUUACUCUGCUUCAAACUUGAGGAAACAUGUAAGUUAAUGAGGAAACAUCCAUUAAAGAUGACAAACUACAAUAUGUUCACCUCUGCAACCACAUACAAACGAACCAAGGAACUAUCAAACACCUCUUCAACUUACAAGCAAGCAAUGAUGUCUGAUGAUGGCAGUGGGAGGAGCCAGGUGCAUCUCACAGGCAACCGUUGACAAGCUUGUCAUUCAUUUGAUCUGUGAGGAGAGUUGGUAACCACCCUGCAUCCUCAAUGCAAAGUAAUCUCCAGUCCUACUGUUCGUUCAAGAAUACAUGAAGCUGCCAAUCACAUGAAGAAGACGGUUAUGGCACACCGUGGCAAGGUAAAUUAUGUUGCCACCACCACUGAUUGUUGGACAGCUCAUCAAAGGAGUUACAUCGUGGUCACAUGUCACUGGAUAGAUGAAGAAACUCUGGUGAGACAUUCUGCUGCACUCGCUUGCAGGAGAUUGAGAGGUUCCCAUACAUAUGAUGUGCUUGUAGGUGCCCUCGAUGACAUCCAUUAUGCAUACAGGAUCAGGGCGAAAGUGGUAAGAACCACAACAGACAUUGGAUCAAACUUCAUCAAAGCAUUCAAUGUUUUUGGUGAGCAGAGCCAGGCAGUCGAGUCAGCAGACCCGAGACUCGGAUGCUGAAGAGCCAGCAGAGCAGGUUGAAUACCAAGACACCUAUUCCAUCCUGGAAAAUGACAGUGGCCUAGAAUAUCAACUCCCUCAGCAUCAACGGUGUGCCUGUCACCUGCUGAACCUGAUUGCAACAACAGAUUCUGCUUUGGCAGAAACAAAUAGUGAUGGCUACAAAAGUUUGUCCAGGUUGUCUUUUGCCAAAUGCCAUGUGGAAUAAAACGGGGCGGUCAACCUUUAGCUGCUGAAGUUGUAGAGACUGAGUACAAACUGCAGUAGAUCCAUCCAAAUCAAACACGCUGGAACUCAACUUACCUGGCUGUGGAGAGGAUCACCGGUAUCAUACAAGAGAAGUGGGAGGAUGCCAUAAGAAAUGUGUGUGAAGAAUUAAAAGUGAAAAUGCUGAGCCCGGCAGAAAUGUCCUUCUUGAAUGUGUACUGCAAAGUUUGGUCUCAGCUCUAAACAUUCUACAGUCUGAGACCAACACGGAGUGUGGUGUCAGGAAAAUAACCUCACACUCAACGUCAACAAAACAAAGGAGAUGAUCGUGGACUUCAGGAAACAGCAGAGGGAGCACCCCUCUAUCCACAUCGACGGGAC